This 468-nucleotide ribosomal RNA is filed under the name uncultured bacterium. Its description in RNAcentral is "partial 16S ribosomal RNA". It matches the Rfam family "Bacterial small subunit ribosomal RNA", at positions 28 to 507 of the family's 1533-position model. The record is from RNAcentral.
GACGAACGCUGGCGGCGUGCUUAACACAUGCAAGUCGAACGGUAAGGCCCUUCCUUUGUGGGGUGCUCGAGUGGCGAACGGGUGAGUAACACGUGAGUACCCUGCCCUUGACUUUGGGAUAACUUCAGGAAACUUGGUCUAAUACCUGAUAGGAGCUCCUGCUGCAUGGUGGGGGCUGGAAAGUUUCGGCGGUUGGGGAUGGACUGGCGGGUUAUCGGCUUGUUGGUUGGGUAGUGGCAUACCAAGGCUUUGAAGGGUAGCCGACCUGGGUGGGGGACCGGACAAAUGAGGACUGAGAUAGGCCCCAGACUGGAAUGGGAGGCAACGGUGGGGAGUAUGACACAGGGAGCGGAAGCGUGGUACGACAACGCCGGGGUCGGAAUGAGGGCCUGCGGGUUGUAAACCGCUUUCGGCUGAGACGAGGCGUGAGUGACGGUAAUGGGAGAAGAAGCACCGGCUAACUACGUG